This 785-nucleotide ribosomal RNA is filed under the name Enterococcus mundtii. Its description in RNAcentral is "bacterial SSU rRNA". It matches the Rfam family "Bacterial small subunit ribosomal RNA", at positions 24 to 780 of the family's 1533-position model. The record is from RNAcentral. Lineage: Bacteria; Bacillati; Bacillota; Bacilli; Lactobacillales; Enterococcaceae.
UCAGGACGAACGCUGGCGGCGUGCCUAAUACAUGCAAGUCGAACGCUUCUUUUCCCACCGGAGCUUGCUCCACCGGGAAAAGAGGAGUGGCGAACGGGUGAGUAACACGUGGGUAACCUGCCCAUCAGAAGGGGAUAACACUUGGAAACAGGUGCUAAUACCGUAUAACAAUCGAAACCGCAUGGUUUCGUUUUGAAAGGCGCUUUACGGUGCCGCUGAUGGAUGGACCCGCGGUGCAUUAGCUAGUUGGUGAGGUAACGGCUCACCAAGGCCACGAUGCAUAGCCGACCUGAGAGGGUGAUCGGCCACAUUGGGACUGAGACACGGCCCAAACUCCUACGGGAGGCAGCAGUAGGGAAUCUUCGGCAAUGGACGAAAGUCUGACCGAGCAACGCCGCGUGAGUGAAGAAGGUUUUCGGAUCGUAAAACUCUGUUGUUAGAGAAGAACAAGGGUGAGAGUAACUGUUCACCCCUUGACGGUAUCUAACCAGAAAGCCACGGCUAACUACGUGCCAGCAGCCGCGGUAAUACGUAGGUGGCAAGCGUUGUCCGGAUUUAUUGGGCGUAAAGCGAGCGCAGGCGGUUUCUUAAGUCUGAUGUGAAAGCCCCCGGCUCAACCGGGGAGGGUCAUUGGAAACUGGGAGACUUGAGUGCAGAAGAGGAGAGUGGAAUUCCAUGUGUAGCGGUGAAAUGCGUAGAUAUAUGGAGGAACACCAGUGGCGAAGGCGGCUCUCUGGUCUGUAACUGACGCUGAGGCUCGAAAGCGUGGGGAGCAAACAGGAUUA